Molecule: ribosomal RNA, 302 nt
Filed under: Clostridioides difficile
Lineage: Bacteria; Bacillati; Bacillota; Clostridia; Peptostreptococcales; Peptostreptococcaceae
Description: partial 23S ribosomal RNA
Rfam family: Bacterial large subunit ribosomal RNA
Source: RNAcentral
AGGUGGCCGCAGAGAAUAGGCCCAAGCGACUGUUUACCAAAAACAUAGGUUUCUGCUAAGUCGCAAGACGAUGUAUAGGAGCUGACGCCUGCCCGGUGCUGGAAGGUUAAGGGGAUCUGUUAGAGCAAUCGAAGCAGUGAACUUAAGCCCCAGUAAACGGCGGCCGUAACUAUACCGGUCCUAAGGUAGCGAAAUUCCUUGUCGGGUAAGUUCCGACCCGCACGAAAGGCGUAACGAUUUGGGCACUGUCUCAACAACAGACUCGGUGAAAUUGUAAUUCCGGUGAAGAUGCCGGAUACCUG